AGAGUUUGAUCAUGGCUCAGAUUGAACGCUGGCGGCAUGCCUUACACAUGCAAGUCGAGCGGCAGCNNNNNGCAACCCUGGCGGCGAGCGGCGCACGGGUGAGUAAUGCAUCGGAACGUGUCCUCUUGUGGGGGAUAACCAGUCGAAAGACUGGCUAAUACCGCAUGAGAUCGAGAGAUGAAAGCAGGGGACCCGCAAGGCCUUGCGCGAGAGGAGCGGCCGAUGCCCGAUUAGCUAGUUGGCGGGGUAAAAGCCCACCAAGGCGACGAUCGGUAGCUGGUCUGAGAGGACGACCAGCCACACUGGGACUGAGACACGGCCCAGACUCCUACGGGAGGCAGCAGUGGGGAAUUUUGGACAAUGGGGGCAACCCUGAUCCAGCCAUGCCGCGUGUGUGAAGAAGGCCUUCGGGUUGUAAAGCACUUUCGGACGGAACGAAAUCGCACGAUCUAACAAGUCGUGUGGAUGACGGUACCGUAAGAAGAAGCACCGGCUAACUACGUGCCAGCAGCCGCGGUAAUAUGUAGGGUGCGAGCGUUAAUCGGAAUUACUGGGCGUAAAGUGUGCGCAGGCGGUUGAGCAAGUCGAGUGUGAAAGCCCCGGGCUUAACUUGGGAAUUGCGCUCGAAACUACUUGACUGGAGUGUGGCAGAGGAAGGUGGAAUUCCACGUGUAGCGGUGAAAUGCGUAGAGAUGUGGAGGAACACCAAUGGCGAAGGCAGCCUUCUGGGCCAACACUGACGCUCAUGCACGAAAGCGUGGGGAGCAAACAGGAUUAGAUACCCUAGUAGUCC
RNAcentral lists this ribosomal RNA (793 nucleotides) under uncultured bacterium. RNAcentral's name for it is "bacterial SSU rRNA". It matches the Rfam family "Bacterial small subunit ribosomal RNA", at positions 8 to 796 of the family's 1533-position model. The record is from RNAcentral.